Molecule: transfer-messenger RNA, 353 nt
Filed under: Phycisphaerales
Lineage: Bacteria; Pseudomonadati; Planctomycetota; Phycisphaerae
Also listed under: 1 other name
Description: J022 sp003697045 Standard tmRNA
Rfam family: transfer-messenger RNA
About the family: Bacterial tmRNA, also known as 10Sa RNA or SsrA, is named for its dual tRNA and mRNA-like properties. Its role is to liberate the mRNA from a stalled ribosome. To accomplish this part of the tmRNA is used as a reading frame that ends in a translation stop signal.
Source: RNAcentral
GGGGCCGAUGUGGUUUCGACCGGGCAGGGAAGGCUUGGUGUGGCGUGUCGAGGGGCGUGCUGGCCUCGUAAAAAGCACGCACACUUUAUGACUGCCGAACCGCAGUACGCACUGGCGGCGUAAAUCGCUGCCGAUCCGUCGCUUGACGCCCGAUAGGGCGACGGGUCCAGACAUCGGGCUGGUUCAUCCGGGGUGCACCCGGCCGGAUGGGCGAGGAGGUUCACCGGUUGCUGGGCGACAGCGCAGGCCGUCGGCGGCCAGCGCCAAGCCGAGAUUCAAAACGCCGACUACACACGUAGAAGCACCCUGCUGACUGCUCUGGGACGGGGGUUCGAUUCCCCCCGGCUCCAUUU